CCUACGGGAGGCAGCAGUAGGGAAUCUUUCACAAUGGGCGAAAGCCUGAUGGAGCAACGCCGCGUGCAGGAUGAAGGCCUUCGGGUUGUAAACUUCUUUUAUAAGCGAGAAAUAUGAUGGUAACUGAUGAAUCAGGAUCGGCUAACUACGUGACAGCCGCCGCGGUCAUACGUAGGAUCCGAGCAUUAUCCGGAGUGACUGGGUGUAAAGAGUUGCGUAGGUGGCAUAAUAAGUAGCUAGUGAAAUCUGGUGGCUCAACCAUUCAGACUAUUAGCUAAACUGUUAAGCUCGAGACCGUUAGGGGUAACUGGAAUUUCUAGUGUAGGAGUGAAAUCCGUAGAUAUUAGAAGGAACACCAAUAGCGUAGGCAGGUUACUGGGACGGGUCUGACACUAAGGCACGAAAGCGUAGGGAGCAAACGGGAUUAGAUACCCUUGUAGUC
This 442-nucleotide ribosomal RNA is filed under the name uncultured bacterium. RNAcentral describes it as "partial 16S ribosomal RNA". It matches the Rfam family "Bacterial small subunit ribosomal RNA", at positions 338 to 795 of the family's 1533-position model. The record is from RNAcentral.